GGGGAUAUAGUUUAAUUGGUAAAACUUUGAUUUUGCAUAUCGAUGUUUCAGGUUCAAAUCCUGAUAUUUCCA
Molecule: transfer RNA, 72 nt
Filed under: Orbilia dorsalia
Lineage: Eukaryota; Fungi; Ascomycota; Orbiliomycetes; Orbiliales; Orbiliaceae
Also listed under: 1 other name
Description: Orbilia dorsalis tRNA-Ala
Rfam family: tRNA
About the family: Transfer RNA (tRNA) molecules are approximately 80 nucleotides in length. Their secondary structure includes four short double-helical elements and three loops (D, anti-codon, and T loops).
Source: RNAcentral